GCUCAGGUAGCUCAGUCGGUAGAGCACACCCAUGGUAAGGGUGAGGUCGGCGGUUCAAUCCCGCUCUUGAGCU
RNAcentral lists this transfer RNA (73 nucleotides) under candidate division SR1 bacterium RAAC1_SR1_1. RNAcentral describes it as "tRNA-Thr (GGT) (tRNA-Thr-GGT-1-1)". It matches the Rfam family "tRNA". Rfam says of the family: Transfer RNA (tRNA) molecules are approximately 80 nucleotides in length. Their secondary structure includes four short double-helical elements and three loops (D, anti-codon, and T loops). Further hydrogen bonds mediate the characteristic L-shaped molecular structure. tRNAs have two regions of fundamental functional importance: the anti-codon, which is responsible for specific mRNA codon recognition, and the 3' end, to which the tRNAs corresponding amino acid is attached (by aminoacyl-tRNA synthetases). tRNAs cope with the degeneracy of the genetic code in two manners: having more than one tRNA (with a specific anti-codon) for a particular amino acid; and 'wobble' base-pairing, i.e. permitting non-standard base-pairing at the 3rd anti-codon position. The record is from Rfam by way of RNAcentral. Lineage: Bacteria; Candidatus Absconditibacteriota. RNAcentral also lists the same sequence under 1 other name.